CCUCACGUAAAGAAUGCCUGCAAAACACAUAACAGAUGAUAAGCUUAGACCGACAAUUUAGUCUCAUCAUUCAAUCGAUGACAAGGCAGUCUUUGGCAACCACCUGACCAGCCGUGAUUCAAUGAAACACAAAUGGCAUGACAGAGUCUAUUGGCAAGAAGAACCGGGAAGAAGACGAAUAUGUUUGAAGAGUGAGUCUUUGUUUAAGAUAUUGCAUGCGCACUCGUAUUUAGGGGUUACUCUUUCAAUAAAACUUGUAACAAUCCAUUAAAUAUUUAGUAACGCAACAACAGAAUUAAUUUGGGGGGAAAAGAAGAGGGAAGAGAAAGGUUACCCUUCAGAAAAUUGGAUUACUCAAAUAUUGGAAUUGAGAAGAGUGAGGAUAUUAGAAGAUUUUGGCACAACCGGGUGACAUUAUUCCGUAAUCGUAAUAACUAAUAUAAAUUUCAUAUACAGACCUUGGUUCAAAAUUCGGUGUAUUUAAUUAAAACCGGGGAAAAAAAUGGAGCCGGAAUAGAAAUGGCCGAACCUUUGGUGGGUCA
Molecule: long non-coding RNA, 542 nt
Filed under: Citrus maxima (pomelo)
Lineage: Eukaryota; Viridiplantae; Streptophyta; Magnoliopsida; Sapindales; Rutaceae
Description: long non-coding RNA (CMAX_LNC002632)
Source: RNAcentral